RNAcentral lists this ribosomal RNA (337 nucleotides) under Apalus necydaleus. Its description in RNAcentral is "partial large subunit ribosomal RNA". The record is from RNAcentral. Lineage: Eukaryota; Metazoa; Arthropoda; Insecta; Coleoptera; Meloidae.
UUUAAUUAAAUUGAACUUUAUUUUUAAGUCAAAAAGCUUAAAUAUUAUAGAAAGACGAGAAGACCCUAUAGAGUUUAAUAUACUUGAUCUUUAUAUUUUUGAGGUUUAUAUUUUUUAAGAGUUUAAGUUUAUUUCGUUGGGGUGAUGUUGGAAUUUAAUAAACUUCUUUUUUUUAAGUCAUUGAUUAAUGAAUAAAUGAUCCUAGUUUUUAGAUUAAAAGAAUAAAUUACCUUAGGGAUAACAGCGUAAUUUUUUUGGAGAGUUCUUAUCGAUUAAAUAGAUUGCGACCUCGAUGUUGGAUUAAAGUUUAUUACUGGUGAAGAAGUUAGUAUAUUAA